Molecule: transfer RNA, 62 nt
Filed under: Diaphanoeca grandis
Lineage: Eukaryota; Choanoflagellata; Acanthoecida; Stephanoecidae
Source: RNAcentral
CCAUGUCGGCUUUAUGCGCUGGCGCCUGAAUCAGCCACUCUGGUCAGAGUACCGGGCACUGG